GCUUACGGCCACACCGCCUGGUAUACGCUUGAUCUCGGAAGAUAAGGUAGGUUGGGCCUGGUUAUUACUUGGAUGGGAGACCGCCUGGGAAUACCAGGUGCUGUAAGCU
Molecule: ribosomal RNA, 109 nt
Organism: Scophthalmus maximus (turbot)
Lineage: Eukaryota; Metazoa; Chordata; Actinopteri; Pleuronectiformes; Scophthalmidae
Source: Ensembl